GCCCUCUCAGGGCCGCACCUGGAGAAUUUCCAGUACUCUACCAGUCACGACUACAGGAGGGAGAAUCAAGCGGAGGCCUACCCAUUCCAUUCCUAGCUUGGCCAGUGGCUGGCGAGUGGAAGACAAUCUGCUACGCGU
RNAcentral lists this small nucleolar RNA (138 nucleotides) under Ornithorhynchus anatinus (platypus). The record is from RNAcentral. Lineage: Eukaryota; Metazoa; Chordata; Mammalia; Monotremata; Ornithorhynchidae.